Molecule: long non-coding RNA, 286 nt
Filed under: Lathyrus oleraceus (garden pea)
Lineage: Eukaryota; Viridiplantae; Streptophyta; Magnoliopsida; Fabales; Fabaceae
Description: Pisum sativum (pea) long non-coding RNA (PSAT_LNC021293)
Source: RNAcentral
GGGUUAGGGUAUGGAUUAAAAAAAAAAGGAAAACAAGGGGCUUUUGGUUCAGAGUCGAUGUUACAUCCUGUGUUUGUUUCUUUUAUUUCCUCGGUUUUCUUUUCUUAUUUAUUUUUCACCGACUGCCCUUUUUCGUGCUUCUUUCUCUUGAAUCUUCGAGUAGUUGAUUUUUAUUUUUCUUUCUUUUUCUCGAUUCAUCAAUUUUUCUUUUUCUUUUGUUUUUUCACUUUCUUGGGCUUUGAGAGCUUUUGGGGUUUUUACCCCAAACUUAGCUUUUCAACACAGC